This 1295-nucleotide long non-coding RNA is filed under the name Papio anubis (olive baboon). Its description in RNAcentral is "lncRNA (ENSPANG00000039176.1)". Lineage: Eukaryota; Metazoa; Chordata; Mammalia; Primates; Cercopithecidae. The record is from RNAcentral.
AUGGAGUUUUGCCUUUAUUGCCUAGGCUGGAGCGCAAUGGCACGAUCUGGGCUCACGGUAACCUCCGCCUCUCAGGUUCAAGCGAUUCACCUGCCUCAGCCUCCCGAGUAGCUGGGAUUACAGGCAGGUGCCACUACGCCCGGCUAAUUUCGUAUUAACAGGGUUUCUCCAUGUUGGUCAGACUGGUCUCGUACUCACAACCUCAGGUGAUCCACCUACCUCAGCCUCCCAAAGAGCUGGGAUUACAGGCAUGAGCCACCGCACCCGGCCCAACCUGAUUUGACAUUUUACCUUCUUUGGGUUAUGUCCUCCUUCCUGGGUAGGAACUUGGACCUGCAGCCUCCCUCCUGCUAAACGGACUGAUCCUUGCCCUCACCUGACUGUUCUACCCCCACACCUAUUGCCCCUCCUGGAAGCAGAAAUGGCUUUGAUGGAAGGCAAUUGGGCCGCUGUGAGAGGACUCCACAAGGCCUUCCCGAGAUGUUCUCUGGGGUCACCUGAUUGUGGAAAAAUUGAGUUUGAGCAAAACUGGCAUGGCCGUACUGGAUGGAUCUCAGCAUGACCAGGGCAUAUUUGAGCUCAAAUCCACUGUGCCAAGAACACAUUCUGCCAAGGACCACCACCUCUUCCCACAACUGUGAGUGGGUUUAUGUCAUCACAGGAGGUGCAAAAACGUGUGGCGAGCAGUGAGUUGCCAUAUUGGAAGCAAAGAACCAUCCUCACCACACACCCAAUCUGCCAGCACCUUGACCUUGGACUUCCAGCCUCUGAAACUGUGAGAAGUAAAUUUUUAUUGUUUACAAAUUACGUAGACUCUUGUAUUUUGUUACAGCAGCACAAAUGAACUGAGACAGUGGCUCACAUUCACUUUCCCACUCACUAGAAACAGACAUGAGGUCACUGUUCUCUACACAUUUUCCUCCGUUAGGAGUCCACAGAAUCAUUCUGCUCUCAGGCUCAGUAAAGAACAUGACUAUUAACUCGCUCAGGCACCUUCUCUCUUCCUUUCACUGCCCCUGCUCAUAGGUCUACUCUUUAAAAGCUGAAGCUAAUAACCUAAUUUACUGAGCACCUACUAUAGUCCCAGACACCCUGUCAAUCAUUUUAUAUGCCUUGUUUCACUUAAUUCUGAACAAACUACAUGGAUGAUUUUAAUAUCUCCAUUUGUAUUAACUGAGGAUUAAAGAAGUUCAAGUGACUUACCUGAGGUCACAUAGCCGCAUAGUAAAUAGUAGCAGAAUAAAGAUAUAAAUCUAUGAUAAAGCAUAUACUCACACAUACACACAUACAUUUAC